AAGUCGUAACAAGGUCUCCGUUGGUGAACCAGCGGAGGGAUCAUUACUGAGUGUUACAACUCCCUAACCCUUUGUGUGAAUCUUACCUAUCGUUGCUUCGGCGGGAUCUGCCACGGCGCCCCUGCGGCGCCCGGGCACCCCGCCGGAGGCCCAAAACUCUUGCUUCUCUCAAGUGGUUUUCUCUGAGUGGCAUAAGCAAAAUUAAAUUAAAACUUUCAACAACGGAUCUCUUGGUUCUGGCAUCGAUGAAGAACGCAGCGAAAUGCGAUAAGUAAUGUGAAUUGCAGAAUUCAGUGAAUCAUCGAAUCUUUGAACGCACAUUGCGCCCGCCAGUAUUCUGGCGGGCAUGCCUGUUCGAGCGUCAUUUCAACCCUCAAGCCCCCUUCCGGGUUUGGCGUUGGGGAUCGGCCCCGCCCCGGCGGCCGGCCCCGAAAACUAGUGGCGGUCACGCCGCAGCUUCCUCUGCGUAGUAGCAACACCUCGCACUGGGAUGCGGCGCGGCCACGCCGUUAAUCAGACGAAUCAUUUCUGAAGGUUGACCUCGGAUCAGGUAGGAAUACCCGCUGAACUUAA
This 573-nucleotide ribosomal RNA is filed under the name uncultured fungus. Its description in RNAcentral is "eukaryotic LSU rRNA". The stretch from base 211 to 364 matches the Rfam family "5.8S ribosomal RNA". Lineage: Eukaryota; Fungi. The record is from RNAcentral.